This is an RNA transcript of Carlito syrichta (Philippine tarsier), 1264 nucleotides long. It is a transcript of the gene named sorting nexin-7 pseudogene, with no coding region annotated. Lineage: Eukaryota; Metazoa; Chordata; Mammalia; Primates; Tarsiidae. The transcript has a single exon. The record is from RefSeq and is a predicted model, not a curated record.
CUCCCGGCCGGGGGGCCGCAGCUCCCCCGCCCUGCUGCAGGCCGACCUGCUAGACCUGGAUGGGGACGAGGACGACCUGGAGGUGUUCAGCAAGGAUGCCUCACUAAUGGACAUGAACUCCUUCAGCCCUGCGAUGCCGACAUUUCCUCUGUCUAUGAUAAACCAAGUCAAGUUUGAAGAUGAGCCAGACUUAAAGGAUCUCUUCAUCACCGUUGAUGAACCUGAAAGUCAUGUGACUACAGUAGAGACCUUCAUCACUUACAGGAUCAUCACGAAAACAUCUCGUGGGGAAUUUGACUCCAGUGAAUUUGAAGUUAGGAGACGUUAUCAAGAUUUCCUCUGGUUGAAGGGAAGACUGGAAGAAGCUCGCCCAACUCUGAUUAUCCCAGAACUCUCUUCUCAUAAGAAGCAAGGGCCUGGACUACUGAGCAGAUGGGCCAGACAGUCAGAGCAGUGGCAUCCUCCAUGAGAGGAGUUAAAAACCGCCAGGAGGAGUUCAUGGAGAUGAAUGACUUUAUCGAAAUAUUUAGCCAGAAAAUAAACUUGAUAAAUAAAAUAUCUCAGAGAAUUUACAAGGAAGAAAGGGAAUAUUUUGAUGAAAUGAAAGAAUAUGGCCCAAUUCAUAUUCUGUGGUCGGCGUCUGAAGAGGAUCUGGCUGAUGCUCUGAAAGGUGUUGUCAGCUGCAUUGACAAGUGCUGUAAGGCCACAGAGAAGCGGAUGUCUGGACUCUCAGAGGCCCUGCUUCCUGUCGUGCAUGAGUAUGUGCUGUACAGUGAGAUGCUGAUGGGAUUUAUGAAAAGAAGAGACCAAAUACAGGCAGAACUGGAUUCCAAAGUUGAAGCUUUGACCUAUAAAAAGGCAGAUACUGAUCUGCUUACGGAAGAGACUGGGAAGCUGGAAGAUAAAGUGGAAUGUGCCAAUAAUGCCCUGAAGGCUGACUGGGAAAGAUAGAUUCAGAGCAUGCAAAAUGAUCUCAAGUCAGCAUUCGUGGACAUGGCUGAGGAGAACAUCUACUAUUAUGAACAGGGCCUUGCCAUGUGGGAGUCAUUCCUUACCUCUCAGACUGACCUUCACUUGGAAGAAGCUUCUGAAGACAAAUCUUAAUCCCACCGAGGACUUUUGUCUGCCCUUUGGAAGACAGCCUCUAUCAACCAAAGCUAUUAUUUGUGAAUCUGCCAUGUCCUUUGUAAAGUGGAUGAAAAAUGUUUUGUACAAUCUGGAAAACCAACAACUUGAAAACUCAGGAAUUCCAGGUCAUUGACAU